Molecule: ribosomal RNA, 700 nt
Filed under: uncultured bacterium
Lineage: Bacteria
Description: bacterial SSU rRNA
Rfam family: Bacterial small subunit ribosomal RNA
Source: RNAcentral
ACCGGCGCACGGGUGCGUAACGCGUAUGCAAUCUACCUUGUACAGGGGAAUAGCCCAGAGAAAUUUGGAUUAAUGCCCCAUAGUAUAUAACCUUCGCAUGUUGGUUAUAUUAAAGUUCCAACGGUACAAGAUGAGCAUGCGUCCCAUUAGUUAGUUGGUAAGGUAACGGCUUACCAAGACGAUGAUGGGUAGGGGUCCUGAGAGGGAGAUCCCCCACACUGGUACUGAGACACGGACCAGACUCCUACGGGAGGCAGCAGUGAGGAAUAUUGGUCAAUGGUCGCAAGACUGAACCAGCCAUGCCGCGUGCAGGAAGACGGUCCUAUGGAUUGUAAACUGCUUUUAUACAGGAAGAAACCCUCCCACGUGUGGGAGCUUGACGGUACUGUAGGAAUAAGGAUCGGCUAACUCCGUGCCAGCAGCCGCGGUAAUACGGAGGAUCCAAGCGUUAUCCGGAAUCAUUGGGUUUAAAGGGUCCGUAGGCGGUCUUAUAAGUCAGUGGUGAAAGCCCAUCGCUCAACGAUGGAACUGCCAUUGAUACUGUAAGACUUGAAUGCUUAGGAAGUAACUAGAAUAUGUAGUGUAGCGGUGAAAUGCUUAGAUAUUACAUGGAAUACCAAUUGCGAGGGCAGGUUACUACUAAGUGAUUGACGCUGAUGGACGAAAGCGUGGGGAGCGAACAGGAUUAGAUACCCUGGUA